Molecule: long non-coding RNA, 1497 nt
Organism: Oryzias melastigma (Indian medaka)
Lineage: Eukaryota; Metazoa; Chordata; Actinopteri; Beloniformes; Adrianichthyidae
Exons: 3
Source: RefSeq, a predicted model, not a curated record
UGCAGCGGAAGCUGGGUGAGCAGGACCGGAAGUCUUCAUCCAAGCGGGGUCCAGGGAAAGAAGGUAGCGUGCAGCUGUAAACUCAUCUGCGUGUUGCAGCUCCUCCGCCUCCUUUCGUCUCAUGCCACCCACAUACCAGCUCCUCUCCUCCUGUGCAAGAACUGCUUCAUCAUCUUCAUCAGUGUGUGAGGAGAGGUCCUGCAGGAAAACUCUCGGCGUGCAAGACUGCACCUCACUGCUGCUGUGGCCUUUCUCCUUCUCCAAGGACUCUAAAACACCAACCAUUCAAACAGUGCAGUGUUACCCACAAAUUAAGGCCAGUCCGCAUUAAACUGUCUGGACUCUGAUGCUGUCUGCACUGACUGCUGGCCUCAUGACAAAGUUCUAGAGGGAGAUAUUGGUGUAUGGUUCAGUCUUACAGCACGCGGGAGACUGUCCAGACUAGUGUGCUGACAGGUGACACUGACUGCCUAAAAUACCAGAACUGGCACUCCUCAAUGUUCAGACCCACUCUUCCAGACUCUGGGUGGUUUGAUGCUCGACCUCGCCUUGCCUCGCCUAACAAACAACAGCUGACCACCCAGAGAUGCCAUGUCAAUCUGAAUUUUUUCUUUUUAGUUGGAAAGCAGUUUUGUCUUAGCUUUGGGAAUCCAGAAUGUUUUAUGAAAAUCUAUAAGUUAGUCUAAAAAAAAAAAAAAGUACAUGUGAACUGUUUGCUUUUAGUAAACCCAAGCACCCCAGCAGUGCUACAUGUAUGUAGGGCAGCAUUUGUUUUUAACAGUUGAUGUAACUUGUCCCUUCAGCACUUGUGUUGGCACGCCCGGAGCUGUUUUAACGAAUGCUGGAGGAAUCACACUAAUGCUGCUGUAACAUUAGGAAGGGAGUAAACUCAUGAACCCCAUGCAGCCAAACACUGACUCUCUGUUAAAGCCUGCCUGGCAUGAAAGCGAAACACGAUCUGCAACUAAUUAAUCCUAAAUCUAGUUGAAUAGCAGAAACGUGGGAUAGUGAAGCAUGUGAUAUCGUGUUCUGCUAAAGCCAUGCAAGUUUCUAACUAUGUUGGGCUAGAAAAUAAAGUUUAUUGGGGAGUUCAGAGGAGAUCUGAUUUUCUUGUUAGUGUUGACUUCUGCUGACUGUUAUAAAUGGAAUUAACUGUGAAUUGUUUACAUGUGUAAUUGUAUUUGCCAAAGCAUAGAUGUCUCCCUAAUAAAGGGUGGUAGUAUUAUCUACAUUGUUCUGAUGGACAAAUGACAUCGUUUAAAAUCGAUUUACCACUGUGACUUCAGAAUUAAAGGUUUACAAGUAAGUUUGACAUUUACGGGUAAAUAGAAGUCAUAGAUUUAAUUUUUUAAACAUCUAAUUUCAACUGAAUAAGUGACAACUUAAAGGGAAAAAACAAGACGUCAUAUGAAAGCUGUGUCUUAAAAUAAAUGUUCUAAAUAAUCUCUAGAAUGCACCAUUAAAGGACAUAGGAUUGAGUGCAGGUUACUUACUAUA